This 157-nucleotide ribosomal RNA is filed under the name Anisomeridium polypori. Its description in RNAcentral is "5.8S ribosomal RNA". It matches the Rfam family "5.8S ribosomal RNA". From Rfam's summary of the family: 5.8S ribosomal RNA (5.8S rRNA) is a component of the large subunit of the eukaryotic ribosome. It is transcribed by RNA polymerase I as part of the 45S precursor that also contains 18S and 28S rRNA. The record is from RNAcentral. Lineage: Eukaryota; Fungi; Ascomycota; Dothideomycetes; Monoblastiales; Monoblastiaceae.
AAAACUUUCAACAACGGAUCUCUUGGUUCUGGCAACGAUGAAGAACGCAGCAAAAUGCGAUAACUAAUGUGAAUUGCAGAUUUCAGUGAAUCAUCGAGUUUUUGAACGCACAUUGCGCCCUCUGGUAUUCCGGAGGGCAUGCCUGUUCGAGCGUCAU